UACAGAGGUCUCAAGCGUUGUUCGGAUUCAUUGGGCGUAAAGGGUGCGUAGGUGGCGCCAUAAGUCGGGUGUGAAAUUUCGGAGCUUAACUCCGAAACUGCAUUCGAUACUGUGGUGCUUGAGGACUGGAGAGGAGACUGGAAUUUACGGUGUAGCAGUGAAAUGCGUAGAGAUCGUAAGGAAGACCAGUGGCGAAGGCGGGUCUCUGGACAGUUCCUGACGCUGAGGCACGAAGGUCAGGGGAGCAAACGGG
Molecule: ribosomal RNA, 253 nt
Filed under: uncultured bacterium
Lineage: Bacteria
Description: partial 16S ribosomal RNA
Rfam family: Bacterial small subunit ribosomal RNA
Source: RNAcentral